RNAcentral lists this ribosomal RNA (520 nucleotides) under uncultured Glomeromycotina. RNAcentral describes it as "SSU rRNA". It matches the Rfam family "Eukaryotic small subunit ribosomal RNA", at positions 569 to 1093 of the family's 1831-position model. Lineage: Eukaryota; Fungi; Glomeromycota. The record is from RNAcentral.
AGCAGCCGCGGUAAUUCCAGCUCCAAUAGCGUAUAUUAAAGUUGUUGCAGUUAAAAAGCUCGUAGUUGAAUUUCGGAGUUCUACCGUUGGUCAGGCUAACAAGUCUGUACUGGUGUGUAGAAUUUCUACCUUCUGGGGAACCAUCAUGUUAUUAAUUUAGCGUGGUGGGAAACCAGGACCUUUACCUUGAAAAAAUUAGAGUGUUCAAAGCAGGCUUACGUCUGAAUACAUUAGCAUGGAAUAAUAAAAUAGGACGGUGGUCCUGUUUUGUUGGUUUCUGAAUCACCGUAAUGAUUAAUAGGGAUAGUUGGGGGCAUUAGUAUUCAAUUGUCAGAGGUGAAAUUCUUGGAUUUAUUGAAGACUAACUUCUGCGAAAGCAUUUGCCAAGGAUGUUUUCAUUAAUCAAGAACGAAAGUUAGGGGAUCGAAGACGAUCAGAUACCGUCGUAGUCUUAACCAUAAACUAUGCCGACUAGGGAUCGGACGAUGUUAAAUUUAUUGACCUGUUCGGCGCCUUACGG